ACAUUCAGAAUUGGAGGCAUUGCCUGCCAGUGACAACUGUUUAACGGCCGCGGUAUCCUGACCGUGCAAAGGUAGCAUAAUCAUUUGUUCUCUAAAUAAGGACUUGUAUGAAUGGCCGCACGAGGGUUUUACUGUCUCUUACUUCCAAUCAGUGAAAUUGACCUUCCCGUGAAGAGGCGGGAAUGCACAAAUAAGACGAGAAGACCCUAUGGAGCUUUAACUAACCAACCCAAAGAGAAUAGAUUUAACCAUUAAGGAAUAACAACAAUCUCCAUGAGUUGGUAGUUUCGGUUGGGGUGACCUCGGAGAAUAAAAAAUCCUCCGAGCGAUUUUAAAGACUAGACCCACAAGUCAAAUCACUCUAUCGCUCAUUGAUCCAAAAACUUGAUCAACGGAACAAGUUACCCUAGGGAUAACAGCGCAAUCCUAUUCAAGAGUCCAUAUCGACAAUAGGGUUUACGACCUCGAUGUUGGAUCAGGACAUCCUGAUGGUGCAACCGCUAUCAAAGGUUCGUUUGUUCAACGAUUAAAGUCCUACGUGAUCUGAGUUCAGACCGGA
RNAcentral lists this ribosomal RNA (559 nucleotides) under Phascolosoma esculenta. RNAcentral's name for it is "partial 16S ribosomal RNA". It matches the Rfam family "Bacterial large subunit ribosomal RNA", at positions 1836 to 2620 of the family's 2925-position model. The record is from RNAcentral. Lineage: Eukaryota; Metazoa; Annelida; Sipuncula; Phascolosomatiformes; Phascolosomatidae.